CAGUCAGCUUAGACAGUACAGACAGAAAACUGAUCCUCAUCCCUCUGCACAGGUGACUGUAAGGCAAGUAUUCUAGCCAGUUCCUGGGAUGGUGCUGCCUACAUGGAGAGCGGAUCCCCUGCUUCAGUGAAUCAUUUCUGGAAACACUGUUAUCUGCACGGACAGAAGUGUCCCUCAGUGAUCUCCUAAGUGGCUCUUCAUUCAUUUAUAGUGACAAUAAAGAUUAACAACUGUAA
Mastomys coucha (southern multimammate mouse) is the source of this 236-nucleotide long non-coding RNA. RefSeq lists it as uncharacterized. The record is from RefSeq and is a predicted model, not a curated record. The transcript is spliced from 2 exons. Lineage: Eukaryota; Metazoa; Chordata; Mammalia; Rodentia; Muridae.